Molecule: non-coding RNA, 266 nt
Organism: Neolamprologus brichardi
Lineage: Eukaryota; Metazoa; Chordata; Actinopteri; Cichliformes; Cichlidae
Source: RefSeq, a predicted model, not a curated record
UGUGUAAGGUAGCAGGCAACGUGCUCUGUGUGGCUGUUGAAAUCUCGUCCCUGAUCUUGUUUAGUAUCGGUGAUUCCUUCAAGGUCUUCUUCUUUGCUCUUGUGUGUGUGAUGAUAGUGAUUAAUUUCACUGGAAUAGUAAUUUUGUCUCUGGGGAUCAGAAGCGGUCCUGAAAGAAGGAAGAUUUGUGAAUACGCUGCCAAUGUUUGUUUUGUUAUCCAUAAUAUAUUUACAAGUAAGAAAAUUCUUAUACUUAAUUUAAGAGUA